Molecule: long non-coding RNA, 1134 nt
Organism: Tympanuchus pallidicinctus (lesser prairie-chicken)
Lineage: Eukaryota; Metazoa; Chordata; Aves; Galliformes; Phasianidae
Exons: 8
Source: RefSeq, a predicted model, not a curated record
AUGGGGUGGGAGCCCAUAAAGGGGUUUUUGGGGUCAGCUUAUGGGGUGGGAGCCCAUAAAGGGGGCUUUGGGGUCAGGUUAUGGGGUGGGAGCCCAUAGAGGGGCUUUGGGGUCAGGAUGAAACAUUGGGGUCAGGUUAUGGGGUGGGAGCCCAUAGAGGGGCUUUGGGGUCAGGAUAUGGGGUGGGAGCCCAUAGAGAGACAUUGGGGUCAGGUUAUGGGGUGGGAGCCCAUAAAGGGGCUUUGGGGUCAGCUUAUGGGGUGGGAGCCCAUAGGGAGGCUUUGGGGUCAGGUUAUGGGGUGGGAGCCCAUAAAGGGGCUUUGGGGUCAGGUUAUGGGGUGGGAGCCCAUAAAGGGGCUUUGGGGUCAGGAUGAAACAUUGGGGUCAGCUUAUGGGGUGGGAGCCCAUAGAGAGACAUUGGGGUCUGGUUAUGGGGUGGGAGCCCAUAAAGGGGCUUUGGGGUCAGCUUAUGGGGUGGGAGCCCAUAGAGGGGCUUUGGGGUCAGCUUAUGGGGUGGGAGGCCCAUAGAGGGGCUUUGGGGUCAGGUUAUGGGGUGGGAGCCCAUAAAGGGGCUUUGGGGUCAGGAUGAAACAUUGGGGUCAGGUUAUGGGGUGGGAGCCCAUAAAGGGGCUUUGGGGUCAGGAUGAAACAUUGGGGUCAGCUUAUGGGGUGGGGAGCCCAUAGGGAGGCUUUGGGGUCAGGAUGAAACAUUGGGGUCAGCUUAUGGGGUGGGAGCCCAUAAAGGGGCUUUGGGGUCAGGUUAUGGGGUGGGAGCCCAUAAAGGGGUUUUGGGGUCAGCCUAAUGCAAUGGGACCCCAAUUUUGUUCUAUGGGGUCAACCAAAUGCCCCCCCAGAACCCCACAGGACCCACCCAAGACCCCCCAGCACCCCAUAAGACCCCAUAAGACCCAAUCAGCACCCCAUAAGACCCCAUAAGACCCCCCCAAGACCCCCCAGCACCCCACAAGACCCCAUAAGACCCCCCAGCACCCAAUAAGACCCCCCAAGACCCCAUAAGACCCCUCAGCACCCCAUAGACCCCCCCCAAGACCCCCCAGCACCCCAUAAGACCCCAUAAGACCCCCCAAGAUCCCCCAGCACCCCAUAAGACCCCAUAAGACCCCAUAAGACCCC